RNAcentral lists this long non-coding RNA (868 nucleotides) under Salmo salar (Atlantic salmon). RNAcentral describes it as "lncRNA (ENSSSAG00000121735.1)". The record is from RNAcentral. Lineage: Eukaryota; Metazoa; Chordata; Actinopteri; Salmoniformes; Salmonidae.
GUAGUAGUAGUGGUAUGGGUAGUAAUGGUAAUGAUAACAGUUUAGUGAUGGUGGUGGUAGUAGUAGUAGUGGUAUGGGUAGUAAUGGUAAUGAUAACAGUUUAGUGAUGGUAUGGUAGUAGUAGUAGUGGUAUGGGUAGUAAUGGUAAUGAUAACAGUUUAGUGAUGGUGGUGGUAGUAGUAGUGGUAUGGGUAGUAAUGGUAAUGAUAGCAGUUUAGUGAUGUGGUGGUAGUAGUAGUGGUAUGGGUAGUAAUGGUAAUGAUAACAGUUUAGUGAUGGUGGUAGUAGUAGUAGUGGUAUGGGUAGUAAUGGUAAUGAUAACAGUUUAGUGAUGGUGGUGGUAGUAGUAGUGGUAUGGGUAGUAAUGGUAAUGAUAGCAGUUUAGUGAUGUGGUAGUAGUAGUAGUAGUGGUAUGGGUAGUAAUGGUAAUGAUAGCAGUUUAGUGAUGGUGGUGGUAGUAGUAGUAGUGGUAUGGGUAGUAAUGGUAAUGAUAGCAGUUUAGUGAUGGUGGUGGUAGUAGUAGUAGUGGUAUGGGUAGUAAUGGUAAUGAUAAUAGUUUAGUGAUGGUGGUGGUGGUAGUAGUGGUAAUGAUGACAGUAGUUGUAGUACUGAUGUAAUGGUGAAGAUGACCGUUAUUUAGUUAUAAGUUAGUUAUAGAUUCAUUUUCCAUAUUUAGAUUUUUAUAUUUAUUACAUUACAUUCUACUAUUGACUGUUACCAUUUUAUUGUUAUUAUUUUUGUGUUAUUGUUUACUACCAUUUUAUAUUAUUAUUUGUUAUUGUUUAUAAUUGUAUUACAAUGUAUAUUGUAUACAUUGCUGCUUUGGCAAUAUUGACACAAUGUUUUUCAUGCCAAUAAAGCAGCUUGA